CGCCCGGGAACCCGACCGCGCAGGGCCGGCACUGGCUGCUGGGAGGCUGCUUCCUCGGGUUUCCCACGCUGUCCUUUCCUAGCUGACCCUCCCAGGGAGGCUUGCCUUUCCUGGGAGGCUGGCAGAGGAGUGGCACAGAGGACUUUUCUUACAAGCUCAGAUGGGGUCAAUAUAAACCAUCAUGGAGCAGGAGGAUCAACAGUGAGCCAGUGAGCCCCAGUGAGCCAGUCUUCUUGACCCCCAGAGGCCCGUAACUUGACUGGCUAGGUAUAAAAGCCAUAUGGAAGUCAAGCCAGAAGAGGCAACACAACCUUGAAAAAGAUGGAAGGUGGAAGACGAGUAUUUCCCAGGUUCAAAACCUAUAGUAAUCUUCCUACGGAGACCAGCAAAGAAUUGAUGGUAUAGGGAUAAACCACACAUUAGGGUCAAUUUCACGCAAGGUGCCCAAAGCAACUUGAUGGGAGAGAACUAUGUUCGUAGUUGUUUGGCUUUGGUCCUGGGGUUUGAACCUCACAUGUGCUGAGUAAGCACUCUUCCACUGAGCUACAUCCUCGUCCCUCGGUUUUCACAUCUUAUUUGGACAUGGGGCUUCACUAAAUUAUCGCUGCUGACUUUGAACUCAUUCUGUAGCCUGGGCUGGCCUUGAACUUGCAGUUCUCCAGCCUCAGCCUCCCAAUUAGCUGGGAUUCAGGACUUGUGGCAUAGGCCCAGCUAAAAAUACCCUAUUCGAAAAAUGGUGCUGGGCCAGGUGAAUAUCUUCGUGCAAAAGAGUAAAGUUGACUCUCUUCAGCACUGUAAACCUCCCUCAAAGUACUGUGUGGAUACAGUGUAUAUGUAUGGAGAUGUCACAAUGAAACUCAUUAUUUUGUACUUUAAUUUAAAAAUUCAUAAAAUACUAAGUCAAAAUGAAUCACUGACCUAUAUGUAAUAAUUAAAACUACAUUUCUUCUUUUCUUUCUA
RNAcentral lists this long non-coding RNA (960 nucleotides) under Mus pahari (shrew mouse). RNAcentral's name for it is "lncRNA (MGP_PahariEiJ_G0004989.1)". The record is from RNAcentral. Lineage: Eukaryota; Metazoa; Chordata; Mammalia; Rodentia; Muridae.